CGGGACGGGUGAGUAAUGUAUGGGGAUCUGCCUGAUGGCGGGGGAUAACUACUGGAAACGGUAUCUAAUACCGCAUAAUGUCUACGGACCAAAGCGGGGGACCUCCGGGCCUCUUGCCAUCGGAUGUGCCCAGAUGGGAUUAGCUAGUAGGUGGGGUAACGGCUCACCUAGGCGACGAUCCCUAGCUGGUCUGAGAGGAUGACCAGCCACACUGGAACUGAGACACGGUCCAG
This 233-nucleotide ribosomal RNA is filed under the name uncultured bacterium. Its description in RNAcentral is "partial 16S ribosomal RNA". It matches the Rfam family "Bacterial small subunit ribosomal RNA", at positions 100 to 334 of the family's 1533-position model. The record is from RNAcentral.